This 443-nucleotide ribosomal RNA is filed under the name uncultured bacterium. RNAcentral describes it as "partial 16S ribosomal RNA". It matches the Rfam family "Bacterial small subunit ribosomal RNA", at positions 338 to 795 of the family's 1533-position model. The record is from RNAcentral.
CCUACGGGAGGCAGCAGUGGGGAAUAUUGGGCAAUGGAGGCAACUCUGACCCAGCAACGCCGCGUGAAUGAUGAAGGUCUUCGGAUUGUAAAGUUCUGUGAUGGGGGAUGAACACAAUGACGGUACCCCAAUAGCAAGCCACGGCUAACUACGUGCCGGCAGCCGCGGGAAUACGUAGUUGGCAAAGGUGAUCCGGCUUGACUGGGCGGACAGUGGGCGGGGGUGGUUUAGUAAGUUGGCGGUGUAAUUCCGGGGCUCAACAUCGGCGCUACCGCCAAAACUAUUAGACUAGAGUGCAGGUGGGCUAAGUGGAAUUCCGAGUGUAGCGGUGGAAUGCGUAGAUAUUAGGAGGAACAUCCGGGGCGAAGGCGACUUACUGGACUGUGACUGACACUGCGGCACGAAAGCGUGGGGAGCAAACAGGAUUAGAUACCCGGGUAGUC